AUCCAGCCGACGAGUCCCAAAUAGAACGAAACGCGCGUCAAACUGGAU
Molecule: non-coding RNA, 48 nt
Filed under: Schistosoma mansoni
Lineage: Eukaryota; Metazoa; Platyhelminthes; Trematoda; Strigeidida; Schistosomatidae
Source: RNAcentral